AUGUAUUGUAUUAUUUCUUACAGCCAAGAUGCCUUUCUCUAAGAUUCUUACCCACUUCUCUUCUUUACAGAUGUAUGGGUAAGGUAGCAUGCCAUCAGUCUGUAUAGUUAUUGUGUGAGUAAAAGACCACGACUGAGCAGGAGGUUGUGCCACUCUGCACAAGCUACCCAGGUAGUAUUUCAGCAAGGACAGCAACUGGGAGGAUUACUUGUUCAUACAUGGUGCGUGGUGACUCAGUGGCUCUCACUGGAGCCUCUGAGAUGUUCAUGAAAUCGAUAGAAUAUUUGCACUGACAGUUGGAGUCCAACAGAAACAGAGCUAUCGGAAUUGGGAACAGAAGUAUCAUCAAGAAUCAAAUCUUCUUUUAAAUGCUCUCAGAAUGGGGUACAACUUACUGAAAGAGGGGGACAGUAACUGUUGUUUAACCAUGCUGCUCACUUUCCUGAAGGCUUUAAGCCUUUUCUUUCCCCCAAACCAAAGCUAUUUCAGCUCAACUGACUUUCAAAACCAAAUACAGUUUCUCAUUUAUUUAUGUGACUUCGCGCUGUUUGGUUUAGGUCUCAGCCACAGACAGCAUUAGCAAUUCUAAUACUACAAGGACAAACAACAUGUACGCGGGCAUGGAAGGUUAAAAUUAGCUUGUUUGUUACUUGUCACAUGCUGUAGUAGAUUGUAUCAGAUCCAUUUAUGUUACACUAUACAAAGAUUAAUCAAAGCCAGUGAAAGGAAAAUAUUGCAAUUUUAAUACACUGUAAAGGAAAAAGAAAUAAACUAUG
Molecule: long non-coding RNA, 776 nt
Organism: Cygnus olor (mute swan)
Lineage: Eukaryota; Metazoa; Chordata; Aves; Anseriformes; Anatidae
Exons: 3
Source: RefSeq, a predicted model, not a curated record